Helianthus annuus (common sunflower) is the source of this 214-nucleotide long non-coding RNA. RefSeq lists it as uncharacterized. The transcript has 3 exons. Lineage: Eukaryota; Viridiplantae; Streptophyta; Magnoliopsida; Asterales; Asteraceae. The record is from RefSeq and is a predicted model, not a curated record.
AUCAAAUGUAUGAACACAUAAAAAUGAUCACCAAGCUUAGGGGAUCAUAAGUUUGACUCUUGACAAGCUAGAUGGAGGCUUGGGAAUGAAGCGGGUCAAACAGAGCAAGUACGGAAAGAAAAGCAUAGUUUGGAUGUGAGGUGAAGUCAGCAAUGCUCCGGAUGAUGAUCAAGCCCACCGAAGAACCGAACACAAGCAAAAUACAAGCUUCCAC